CAGGGUACUUUUAAAGCCUCUUUGUCUAAUUCGUGGGUGGUGGUAUAGUGUAUUGGCUGGUUUAUUUGUCUUUCUUCAAAACAUAAUCUAAGCUGUGACUUCCCUGACUCAGAUUUUGCACCUCAAGCCACGUGGACAGAAGGCACUGCCCAGUAGCCUUUGCUCACUUAUUUGGCAAACUCCUGAAAUGCACCUGCUGAUACCAGGCAAUUAUUUGGAUGGCUUUAAACAAGUGUGGAGCUAGACACAGUGAGAGCUAAAACUUGUGCCCUGAUGGUCCCCCUGUACCUACCAACUGAAGGAGAGAGUGAGCAGAAAAGCCAGCCCUACAUCUGCAAUAGCAGCUCUGGGCUAUUCAUCACUAACACCAGCAACAAAUGCAAAAUUCCCAAUCAGAAGUGAAGCCCUAUCACCUCCUGGGUUUCUUUUCCCUGCUGUCAUAAGCAGAGCUUUAGACUGAACAAAAAGGAAAGCUUGUGAUACAAGCUGUAAAAUUUCACAUCACUGUCACAUCCAAUGAAUUUAGAGAGAAGCAUCUCUGGGCUGCAGUGUACUGUGAGAAAGUUGCCAGGAAACAAAGUAUUCCUCCUGUUCUCUCUCAUAUUUCUCUAACCUGGUUUUCCUUUCCCUGUUCCCAUUCAUCAGAUGCAAUGGUUGUCCAUCUUAUUUUGUACUACAAUAUUUUGACAGACUAAAGGUUUUGAUAGUCAGAUGGUAACUAGGUUUACUAGUUCUCAAUUGCAAAAGAAAAUAAAUCCCAGAACAGCCAGCAUUUCUUGUACUUGUCUCUUUUUCCUCAAUUUCUUUUAUUUGCCAAGCAUAAAACAAAGACUGAAACUAGAUUAAGUAAUUUUCACCGUUUGUUCCAGCAGAGCAACAGCAAGUUAUGAUGCUUUCUCUCACUUCCUAAAUACCCAGAAGACAGGAUUUGGUUUUUAUGAUUUGUUGUUGUUGAUUAGGGUUUUUCUUAAAACAAGAAUUAAAAUCUGAAGGAUUAAUUUGAACAAAGAGCUUUCCAAAACAGAAACAGUUAUUGUAAGGUUAGCUGCAGAGAAUCCUGACAAAGAUCAGGGAAACUGGAUGCACUGACUACAGCAGCUCAUCUCUUGACUGAAAUCUAGGCCAGAAACAGAAAACUGCAAUCUUCUAAUUAGACUGCUACUUUUGCAACAAAACCAUCCCACGCUGGUGCUCACUAAACAGCCAAGUCUGUCCACACCAACCGAAUGAAAUAAAUUUCUAAUACCUGAGGAAAUAAACAGAGGACAGGGGAAAUCUCUUCCUAUUAAUUUCUCAGCUAAUUGGGGGGGAUCAGCUUUACUGGAAACAUUUUUGCAGUAACAGGUAUGGCUUAGUACAUGAUUUAUUGUGAUGCAAGGGAAUGCACAUCUAAGUUUGCACCAAGAAUUAAGUCCAAUAUUAUGGGAUAAUUAAUGUGACAUUGACAGAGCAGCUUGCUGUGUGCACACAUUACUUAGCAAGCCUGAAAUACAUUUGUCCCUUUCUGAUAAGCAGCUCUGCAAUAAAUCACAGAAGAAUUUUCGUAUAAUUCUGCAAACUACAACUUAAGGACUGACAGCAUUAAAUCAGGUCACCUCCAGCUCCCAGGAUCCAGGCAGUUUUCCUGAACUGGGCAUGGCCCCUUUUGGAAUUUAACCAUGGCAGGCACCCAGGCCUAAACACAGCAAAACGUGGCACCACACAGGCUACCACAAGGACAAUUCCCUCUGUCCAGCCCAAAGCAGCACAACCCCACACACACACGAUGGCAACACCUGCCAAACAAGGUUGCUUCAGUUCUGAAACCUCAAUCGCUGACACCUCCCACAACAGGAGAGACAGGCUCAAGGAAACCAAGCUCACCUGUACUCAAAUGACAGACUUUGGGGGAUUUUUUUUUGUGUGUGUGUGAGAAAUGAUGCUCUGUAGUCUGAAAAAGAAACCAUGAAAACACAUGCAUGGAAACAUUGCUUUCUUUUUGGAAUUUACAGAUGACUUUUCAGUAAGCUGCCUUUCAGCAUCAAAUCCUUAGACUCAAAAACUAGUGAGGUGCUGGAGUCUUAGGAAGCUUUUAAAAGAAUAAAAACCAACAAAACAAACCAAACCCUCAGCUAGAAAAUAAAACAAGCUGCAUCAGUUCUAGAGGGUAAAAUAAGACACAUCUGCCUGGGGUGAGCACUGUGAGAACAGUCUCUGUCACUCCUUAGAGCAGGGUUAAUCAGGACUUGUCACCAGAAUCACUCCUCAAUCAGUACUGAAGUGCCACGUGCAACACAGACCAUGCGGAGGAGAAUGAACAAAUGCUGGAGAACAUCAGAGAGCUGCUGUGUUGAGCUGCCUGGAAGGCUCAGGUCUUGGUUAGCUCUGAGCAAGAUCACACCGAGUCUGCUCCUAAGCAAGCACAAGUUUGGGUGUGCUUGUGGUUGCUGCGCUCCGCUCGGGUUCAGCUCUGACCUACACACAGCGCAGAAGGUAAAGUUGAGUUUGUCACACCUUGUACCUCCCUGAACUCCCCCAGACAAACCACUGCCACCGCAGGCGCUGUUCCCGGCGCCGUGUGCCCGGCACAGGAAGCCCAGGGCCGGGGCCCAGCAGGAAGCAGGGCCCUGCAGCAGGCUCGGAGCCCCGCAGAGCCCCCGCCGAGCCCCGGGGGAUUCAGGAGCCGGCAGGAACCGGGAACAGCCCCGCCGCUCCCGCUGAAAUGAGGGAGGGUCUUACAGGAAAAACUUCUGCAGGACCAACAGAAUCAAGCAGAGCUGCACCUACACUGCACAGUAAGAGAUCAGCUCACAGCUCCCACCUGGAUGUGUGUCAGUGCUUCAGUUCAACACCUGUGUGACUUGGCAAUAAGGUUCUCGAAAAUGAUCUGCACAACCUCCUAUUUACCCCUGAGCAAGGAUUCUCACAGAGGCAGUUCCUGAUGCAAGCCAGCCACAACCUGCUCUUCCCCACUCUCUCCAGAUUCUGAAGUAGCAGAGAGCAGAAAAUGAGACAUAUGGCUCCAGAGAGGAGGCCCUGGCUGCCAGCACAGACUGCCACAUCAGCAACAGGAGAGCCCCUAGGGAUGCACCUGGACUCCCAGGAGGGGACCUGGCCUCAGGCUUUCCGCUGCAGGCUCCAGGUGUAAACCCGGGAGCUGGAAGAGGCACUUCCCUCCCGCAUUUUGGGCGGGCAGCAGGGGAGGUGGUCCAGCCGCACGAUGACAGAUUAUGCAAAUACUCGCGGAGCACGGGAUCGAUCGGGGCGGCGGGAGAGGAUCGCGGCUCAUCUCCGAACCAGCCUCCGCCGCGGCUCCUCGCCGAGCAUCGCCCCUCGGCCGGAAUGACAUCAGAGCAGCUCCGAGCCCUUGCAAGUCUGCGGGCUGAGUAGCGGCAGCGAUCGGCCGCUGCUGCCAAGCACAGCCCUGCGAAGCCGCCUCGCUGCUCCCGGAGAUCCGCGGGAGCCGGAGGCUGACUCCGGCACUCGGGAGCGCGGCGCCGGCGGCAGGACCGCGAGCAGCGGCUCCCGGGCCGAUUCCAGAGCUCUCGCAGCCUUUCUGCCGGAGCCUGGCGGCUCCCCGGCGUAAUCCCCGUGCCCAAGAAGGAAGCUGCACUGGGAACGCUGUGCUGAGCAGAGGUUUGCAUCGUUCCAGCUGGCUGCUCGCUCUGAAAGGACAGGCCGGGUACAAACGAGAUGUGACUGUGCCGGUGGAGUUCGGUGACUGGGGCCGGAGCAGGAAGAGCCUUCCUGGGAUGCUGCUGAGAGCUGCUGGCAAUGGAGAACUCUGCCUGGUUCACCUGGAGCCCUGUGAAGAGCUUGGAAUAGCAGGCGUCUCUUGGCUGCACGCGCUAGGAAGAGAAAUUCUAUUGCUCAGCUUCUCAACCUCUGCUUCUGGGCAUACAUUCAUACAAGCACGCAGACAGUGCCUAUACUCACAGCAGGUACAAAUACCCAGAGUGUGUCCAAUGAUCUGACUGGAACCUCUGCACAGUAAGUGCUUCUGAAAGCUGCCUGGAGCCUGGCAUUCCAAGGAUUAUUUGCAAGUUUGACAUAGUCUUUGCCACCUUUGCAUGCAAGUGCCCCUGAUGCCAAGGGAUGUUGUUCCCGAGGGAAACAGCUGUCUGCCUACAUGUAUGAACCACAGAAGGGAGAGCACGGGAAGUUAGGUGAGAGGGAAAAGAGGAUACAGCUGCUGCUUUAGUCUGCUCCACAUCCUUUGCUUAGAUUUGCUACCAUCCAGCAAAGUUCAGCAGAACUACUGCACUAAAAUGACAUGGUAGAGGCUUUCCAUGGAGAUACAUUAAAUAUGCACCAAAGUAAGAGUAAUUGUACUGCGAGGAAGCCAAAACCUACAGUUCUGCUCUCUUCCAGCAGUUUGAUAGCAAACUACAUCUGUCAGAAACUUAUUUUUUUUAAACAUCAUGAUCAUUUAUAGAAUGGAAGCAAGGAUUGUUAGAGGUAGUAAGAGCUAAACUGAAGAAAUCAGUGUGGGCUCUUCAGAUGCUCCAGAGCCCAGUCCAGCAGCAGCCCAGGGGUUUUACCCCACAGCCGGCACAGGGGCUCCAAGUCACUGCUGCUGGGAAUGAACGCUCACAGGAGAAUGCUCAGAGGUGAAGAAGUCUCUUCCCACGAGCACUGCACUGUCCUAACCACACGUACCAACAAAACCCCACACUCAGGAAGUUCUCUUUCCCCCAGGGAAUUUACCAGGUCAUUUUUACUAGCUCCUGUUAGUAAAACAUGAGUUUUCCACAUUCUCAUUCACAUUGGUUGCAGCCUCCCUCCUUCUCUCUGUGUGAAUCCAUGCUGCAGAAUCUGGCCUACCCCUGUAGCAGGUGACUCGACCUCUCAAUGCUCUCAGAGAACAAGAUAAAAAAAGAACUCAUUUUCAACCCAUUUCUUUAGUAGUUGGAACCAUGAUCCUCCUUCCAUAAAUGCUCAGCCUGUGGAAGGACAGCAAGAUCUCCUUGUUCAUAAAAUCUCAAUAGUUGGCCAUGUUUCCAGGUGCUCCCUGUCUUGCCCCAUCCUAUCUGAGCACUCUCCCCAUGCCUUUUCCCCUCCCUUAAGCUGCACUGCCUACCUUGCUUUUGGGAAUGCUGCUCUAAAGGAGGGGCUGGGGGCGGGCUGUGAACUGCCAAGUCCAUUUAACUAAGGAAAUUCUUGGCUUCGAGUUCUCUCCUGAAUCUGAACAAUCAGACCCUAUGAUCUGCCCAGUUGGGUUAGAUGUCCCUCAAGCCAUUGCUCUGUGCACAAGUAGAGUAAAUCCAAUUCAAAGGGUUACAUUUCAGCAGAGAUGCUUCAGUGACUGACCAACUUGCACACACACACCCACCCUCCCCCCCUCCACACACACCCACAUAUAAACCCUUUUCAGCCUGAACACCCUCUUAACUCACACUAGCAAGUUCUGCAAGCCCUAUCAAAACUUCAUGGGUGUUUAGAGGCUGUGAUAUCUGCUGUAUCACUCCCUGUAGUGGCCACAAUCAGACUUAGCACCGUGCAGGAAUCAUGAGCUGCUCUAGAGUUCAACUACCAUAUUCACUAUGAGCAGGAAAAAAAUAUGCCAAUAGUAAAGACGGGGUUUUUUAGGGUUGCAGUACAGGAAUUCUCAGCAGUAUAAUGAGACAGUUCAAGGAAAAUGUAGCCAUAUAUGGCAAACCCACAGCUAUACUGAGCACAGAAAAUGCUGAUGAGUUACUAUUAGUUCUGACUAUGACUUUUCAGUUAGGUAAACAAAAAAUUGCAUUCAACUCCAUGUCCCCAGAAGAAGAUUCAUCUGUUCUCCACAAGCUGUAAAGGAAGCCAUAUAAUGAACUUCUACAAAAAAAAAAAAAAAAAAAAAGAAAGAAAAAAAAAAGAGUAUAAUUUCUGUUCCAAGUCACUCUGAUUUGCCUACAAACAAUUCUGCUUUGAUUGCCUCCAUGACCAUAGGGCUAGGUGAGCUUCAGCUGCACGAAUCCUCUGCUGUUUGCUUCCAUCAAGUUUGCCUUGCAAAGCUGUUAGACAGUCUGACACAAAGCCCUAAAAAUCUUAGGGUUAAAUCUAAUCUUAGGGUUUAAUCUAUCUUGAGACAAUAGAGUUGUUCCUCACUGCAUUUUCCUUCUGCCUCUUACCCUAAGAUGUGCUUCUAUUUUUCCCUUCACUGAUGUCAAUUUUCCUUAAUCACUUGAGAUUCUGGUUUAGAUUUAGGUUUUCACCACAGAGAAAAACAGCAAUCAAAUACUGAGGUUUUAUUUGUCUUGGUUAAGGAAUUUAGCAUCUGUGAAAGUAGCACCAAUAAUUCCUAUUAAUUUUUUCCAUGUACAUCUGUAAUGUUGCCAGCUAACUCUUAAUAACAGCAAUCUUGUUACACUAAUCACCAGUCUCUCUGGAAGAUCUCAUCACUGCUGACAAAAUCCUAUCAUGUCUUAUAAACUCCUCCAAAUCCGCCAGGAGCCUUUCUGGGAAGAUCAAUUUGUUUCUUCCUGGUGAACAAUGGAACCAAAACCACCUACAGGAAGGACAGCUACUCACUUGGUCUUUCCUCUGCUGUCCUUCCCCUCUCUGACACACUCUCACCAAGUGCUCCAAGCCACAGGGCUGUAGCAGUGUGCGUGCACUGAGAACACCACAAGGGCUCCUGGUGCUCGCACUGCGAGUUUGCCAAGCGGAGACAGAGCAGCACCAGCAGCUGUAAUGACCUGGGAGCCUUUGUCCCUUUUCUCCUCUGCUUCUUUUUAUUAGCUCAUCCCUCCUUCUGCUACUAACUUUCCCAUAUCACUGGCAUCACGGAUGUUAUCGUUUCUCUUCUACUCUACUCCCAGUUGAUUUGAUUUUGCUUCUUUUCUUUACUUACAAAUUACUGCCUUAGGGGAAAGAAAUGUUCUUACCCUCUGAGCCAGUCUGAUCUAUUUUGGUGCAGUGGUUGCUCAUUUAUUAAAUCAAGUUCUCACCUUGCUGUGACUGCUCCUUCUAAGUUUUUGAUUUCCACAAAGCUGUUGUUUACUACUGUGAGUAACACAGAACAUGACCAUAGUCAGCAGCAGGACUGGAUCAAACAGCUGACAAGCCUUUACUCUCACAUCCUGGUCAGCUGGAGGCCCAAUUCGGUACCACAGUGGAAGGCACAGAGUAUGGGAGAGAAUGGGAGCUAGAGAAUGGGAGCACUUGACAGGGAAAGUCACUACAGGUUUUACCUUUCAUGUUCAGAGGUAGGAAACAUCCAAAGCGUAGCAGCUUCAUUAGAUCAGCAAAUCUCAAACACUUUUUCACAUGCGGGCUCUCUAAUCUGCCCCUGAGGUAGCCUAACUCUGAUUUCACUUCCCAUCCUAGGGGAUGGGAACCUUCUCUGCCUCUCCAGAAACCACAGCACCAAUGGCCUGGAGACUAAGAGUUUGCACCUUUGACAGCUUCUUGGUUAGCAUCUUCUUCAUUCUGGAUCUAACUUCCACUGAUUCCAUGUCAGCUUAUUUCUGCUUUCAUCCAUGAACUAAACAAAACAGACUAACCUGAUGGAAAAAGUAAAGUAAACACCCAAAAAGUAAUGAGAUUUGAGGAGGAAUCUCAUGAAAAUUUAUUUCCAUCCUUUCAGCUCUAAAAAUCUAUUCUCUCUCACACAACCAAGUACAUUUUCUAGCAAAAUUAAUGUAACAGAAUUAAGCAUUCUCAACACAAGACAAACCUGUUGAUCAACAGUUCAAAGACUUUCUAAGGAAUAACAAGGUGCAGGACAUGGCAUGCACCCUAAAAUGAAGAAAACAUGAACCAAAAGCCAAAACAAGAAUGAAGAGUUCUCAACUAAUCCGAUUUUGUCCAAGCUCUGUAAAGUGCAGCAAACCUCAAUAGCACGGUCUGUGGACAAGGCCAGGGGUAAAACUGUAACAGGCAUAGGUGUAAUUGUGCUACCAAUAAUUUCAUUAGCUUAACUAACACAGUCAGCCAACAGCAGAACCGAGUAAAGAAACACAGACUGGCUGUUUUGCUCCUGGAAAGGCACGGGGGCUGGGAGGGAGCAGCACAGCUCACCGACUCCUCCACCACUGCCAUCAUAGCAGCUGCUCUCGCACACUAUGUGAGGCUGGAGGUGUGCAAGGUGUGUGUCUGAGCACAUCACACCUGCUACACGCCACAGGUGGCAAACUCUGCACAACCCGUGCAGGGGCACAAAGGCAGUGUGAUGCGCGUCACCGAUCCAGGAACACACGGCAGAAACGCCCCUGCAUUUGGCCUCCCUUCCGAAAAUGGAAAGAGCAAGAGAAGGGACACGUCUCUUGCCCAUCUGCAGCACGCCACAGUACACUUAAUGAAAAGGUGAGCAUGUUGCUCUAGAGUCAGAAAUAACCCAACUCGUUAUAAUGCCACCAAUAUUUUGUAGGUGGCUCAACAGUAAACGACAGAGAUCUACACAGGCUGUUGUUUCUCCCACAAACUGCAAACAUCACCUUUUGGAUUGUAUUCGAGCUGCUCAAACAGUCCCUGGUCUGGAUUUAGGUCUUUCAUAAACUGUACUUCAGGUGGGAGCUCAGCAGACAGUCUGUCCGGAGGAUACAGUCUUGUUUGAAAUCCAAAACACUGUAAUUCCCUACUAGCUGAUCUACACUUAGGAGAAAACUGAACGUAGUUUGGGUGUUCCAAACUUCGUCUCCAUUUCAAGUGGCACUUGACAUUUUCUACAUGAAGAAUGGAAUAAAGCGAAUGCUGAAGGACUUGUGAGCUUUCUUAGGCUUGAUAAGCACUACUUGAAUUUGGGCUACUUGGCCUGGUUUGGGCUGGGAUCAAGUUAAUUUUCUUCCUAGUAGCUGGUGCAGUGCUGUGUUUUGGAUUUAGGGUUAUGAUUAGCCAAACUCCGUGUGGUGUAUGCCAACAAUGUUUGCCUUUUCUAUGCAAAAAACCCCAGAACUCUCACUUUGGAUUAGCUGGCUGGUUCUUGGUCUACUAUUCCAGUCUUAAUUUAGAGUAGUUCUACUAAGUGUUCCAAAUACUCCACCUGCCUGCUGCAGUGUUUAGACACGUCAAGUUGUACAUGUAUUUCUUUCCAGCCUCAUGUUUGGCAUGCACCAAGACAAAUUCUUGAAAACAACUAAAUAUCCACAAAAUAUCUUGUAGUAGCCCUAAGAGCAAAGCUUGCUGUUGGUUUUCACAUCUCUGGUAACAUUAAGGGAAGUGUCCCUUUGGGGAGAAGGCUCAGCACAUGUCAAGAAACUGUGACACGGGAAACAAAUUCAGUGAGGGAGCCCAUUUAAUAAUACAGAAGAGACAUGCCAGGAUUUGAAUAUUGCUAAUUUAUCUUUCUUUGAGAAACCAAAACAAAGUGAGAAUGUUUUCAGAGCAAAGCUUUUCUGCAAUUUCCUUUUUGGUUUUCGCUCACUGCAAACCUGAACUUUGUAAGGUCCUGCCCAGAUCCCCACAGUAAAGCAAAACACAUACUUGGCAAAAUAAAAUGGAAAACACAAGGAUGUAACUGCAGAUAUUGCAAGAUAAAAUAGAUCAAUACAAAAAAAAUUUUUUACUUUAAACUACAGCCCAGUAAAACUUUUAAGAGGCACCAAAACUUCCUCCGUUCUGAAAUUCCAAGUGACAUCUCCAGCUCCAAAUGUAAAGAUUUACUUGUCAGUUCAUACAGGUGCAGAAACACACAGGGAAGAGAAAAAGAACAGAAGAAGGACCCAAAGACAGAGUAAGCAGCAAAGGAAGUGACUGAAUAACAACCUUGGGUGGUUUCCUUCAGAAAAGCCAACUACAAGGUGACAGUAGGGGGAAUCUGAGCAAACAGCCUGAAAUGCAUUGGCAAGAUCACUCAUGUAUUUGAGCAGAGACAAGGACAAGGUCUGAGAAAGAUUUGAAUUAAGUAAAACAAGCCCUUAAAAAUGACCCAGACACAGGCAGACAGCCCUAGGAAGGCAAGCAGAAAACAAGUGUGGUCCUUCAUGCCAGGGAGUCCAUUUGCUGCUGCUCCCUAGGUCAGCUGCAGCUAUGGACAGCCACAAAUUAAUGCCUUGUUAAGAAUUCAUAUUCAAGUGCUCGUUCUAAGUGCACAGAAUGGGCACCGUGGCUCAGCAGAUGCCACAGAUGCUAUAAACUCUACAGUGAGAAAAAUGGUGCCCUAUCUGAGGCUCCCUGACAUUUUCUGUAGGCAGAAUUGUGAGUAAUGCCCGCUUCCCACACAUUGUUGACUCAAGCCAGCUGCAUGGUCCCACAUUUUGGGGCUGCCAGUGCAGUCUGCUGAGGGGCACAAUCCCAUCGCAGCAGUGAUGUCAUCUCUGUGAUCAAAUGAGAGCUGCUUUCUUCCAGGACAGAAAAACCAGGAGCAGCAUUUCCAGCAUUACAUAAAACAGAACUGCACAAUACACAUCACAGCUCCACAGAAGAAUUCAUCGUUUGCUCUUCAAUUUGUGACUGCCAUGUAAAGGUAGCUGGUAAAUAGGUGAUUAUUUUUAUAUUACUGCCUUGAAGGCACUGAUUAUCUGUCGCUUACUAAGUUGUUCUGCUACUCCUUUUGCUCUUCCUUGUAGAUGAUGAACAGCUCUAGAGUUCACUGCAAGCCAGGCUCCCCACACUGCACCAACUCAGCAGCUGCUGCUGCCAGACCCAUGUCCUGGCACCGCUAGAACAGGCCCAUGGCACGAUUACUGGGUUCCUGCAGCAUA
Long non-coding RNA from Motacilla alba alba, 10604 nucleotides. RefSeq lists it as uncharacterized. Lineage: Eukaryota; Metazoa; Chordata; Aves; Passeriformes; Motacillidae. The record is from RefSeq and is a predicted model, not a curated record. The transcript has 5 exons.